This 533-nucleotide ribosomal RNA is filed under the name uncultured Thermoplasmatales archaeon. Its description in RNAcentral is "bacterial SSU rRNA". It matches the Rfam family "Archaeal small subunit ribosomal RNA", at positions 339 to 874 of the family's 1478-position model. The record is from RNAcentral. Lineage: Archaea; Methanobacteriati; Thermoplasmatota; Thermoplasmata; Thermoplasmatales.
GCGCGAAAACUUUGCACUGUGCGAAAGCACGACAAGGGAAUCCCAAGUGCUAGCUCGUAAGAGUUAGCUGUUUCUCUGUCUAAAAAACAGAGAGAGUAAGGGCUGGGUAAGACGGGUGCCAGCCGCCGCGGUAAUACCUGCAGCCCAAGUGGUGACUGUUAUUAUUGGGCCUAAAACGUCCGUAGCCGGUCCUGUAAAUGCCUGGGUAAAUCGUAUCGCUUAACGAUACGAAUUCCGGGUAGACUGCAGGACUUGAGAUCGGGAGAGGAUAGAGGUACUCCUGGGGUAGAGGUGAAAUUCUGUAAUCCUAGGGGGACCACCAGUGGCGAAGGCGUCUAUCUAGAACGAGUCUGACGGUCAGGGACGAAGCCCUGGGGCGCAAACGGGAUUAGAUACCCGGUAGUCCAGGGUGUAAACGCUGCUCGCUUGAUGUUAGCUGGGCUCCGAGCCCGGCUAGUGUCGGAGAGAAGUUGUUAAGCGAGCUGCCUGGGAAGUACGGUCGCAAGACUGAAACUUAAAGGAAUUGGCGGGGG